This 45-nucleotide non-coding RNA is filed under the name Schistosoma mattheei. Lineage: Eukaryota; Metazoa; Platyhelminthes; Trematoda; Strigeidida; Schistosomatidae. The record is from RNAcentral.
AUCCAGCUGGAGCGUUCCAAAUAGGACGAAACGCGCGUCCUGGAU